GAAAUCAACAAUGUUUUAGAUCAAAGCUGUUCCAUUUUCCUGGAUCCUAGUGGGGAGCUAACAUGGCGCAGAGCCACAGCCAAUCCAAGGACAUGUGAAUCCUAGAAAAGAGGAGUUCCUCCAAGGCCCUGGAAUCAGAAACUUGGAUUGCCAGGACCUGCCCUCAGUGUUCUUCACUCCACACAACACAGCUGACCCAGACAUCAUGUGCAGGAGGUACCUCCUGACAGCAGGCUUGACACCAGCUACUGUCCAGCUCCCCAGUAAACCAGAUUCCCUCAUUGCUCCUAAUGGGGUCUAGACUGCAGGAGGAGGAAGCAGGUGGGCAAUGUCCAGAUUUCCAUGAUGACCCUCUGAGGAGAUAUCCGUGGCUAGGUUACUGCACGACUACAGCAUCACAGAGGAGACUCCAGAACUCAAACUACCAAGAGCACCCCUCCAUCAGCUUUGUUUCCUAACUCCUGGCCUGCCUCCUUUCUUGUGGCGCCAUCUCACAGCCAAAUGACAACAAGCCCUCUCUGUCCCUCACAAAAUGCCUGUGAUAAAAAGUUCCCUUUGCAGCCAGACCAGCUGAGACUGGUACAUAGAACCAAGACAGCUGACCAAAGGACUUCAAAAAGACCUCAGUCUUCAUGAUAAUCUUAUUUCCAUGCUAAAUGAUACUCCCUCCAGCACCACGACAGUUGACAAUUGCCAUGACAAUGACUGGAAGAAGCCGUAAAAGGACUAAAAGGGAGGCGGUACUACUGAUUCCAGGAGGUUCACCACCCACUUCUGGAAAAGACAUGAAUAUUCUUC
Molecule: long non-coding RNA, 798 nt
Organism: Homo sapiens (human)
Lineage: Eukaryota; Metazoa; Chordata; Mammalia; Primates; Hominidae
Source: Ensembl